Molecule: long non-coding RNA, 330 nt
Organism: Gopherus evgoodei (Goodes thornscrub tortoise)
Lineage: Eukaryota; Metazoa; Chordata; Testudines; Testudinidae
Exons: 3
Source: RefSeq, a predicted model, not a curated record
UUUGCUUCCUGAUGGCCACUGAUGAUGAUACCUGGACAAACACAUCAGGCUGGAAAGCUACUGGCAAGCCCUCACAUUGCCUUGCAUUAAAAAGAAACAACAAAACCAACAGCAAAACAAACCCUACGGGAGAAGGAACGCCCCCAACAGAAUGUGCCACUGUAACCAAGCUACAGAAAACAAUCCAGCAGAGGCAGGAGUGGGUGGCUCUAUUUUGGCAUUAUUUCGAUCAGGAGGUUCAAGAAUCCUGCUUUUGUCUCCAGACCCUCUGUGCUGCAAUCUGUGCAAAUCUGUUACAAAACCAGUGCUAAUCACCAAAGCAGUUUACUA